Long non-coding RNA from Sphaerodactylus townsendi, 2496 nucleotides. RefSeq lists it as uncharacterized. The record is from RefSeq and is a predicted model, not a curated record. The transcript is spliced from 2 exons. Lineage: Eukaryota; Metazoa; Chordata; Lepidosauria; Squamata; Sphaerodactylidae.
UUACCAGUAACAGGAACAACCACUAAUCGGGAAACAAUUAUUUUGACUGCAUGGUAUCUGUUUCCACUUUUUAAAAGAACUACAAUAUUUGUGUGUACUGUGAAGGAUGAGUGAAGGCUCUGCCAAUGUCCUAUCCACAAAUAGAUUCCUGGCCACACCUAGUCCGUUAGGACAAGCAGCCUUUGUAGAUACAGACUCAUUACGCCUGCCUCUUCGCAUAUAACAAGGAGAAGAAGAUCCAGCUACAUUAUAAGGCUUUUUACCAACCAGGCAUUCAAGAGAGAGUCCAGAAACAAAGCAAAAAACAACUUCAAGCAAAUGCCGUCAUUUGUCCAGGAUCAGGCUGUUCCUGCACAUUCAUCUUCACCAUCUUACAGAGCCCGAAUCAUGCAAGACUCCUUUGCUGUCCACUGCCUGAAGGUGCUGAAGGAGCUCCUGGCUUUUGUACUGUUCAGUUACACAGUGCUGUUUGGUGCCCUGCUGUUGGCUGGCUGGACCACUUACUUCCUGGUGCUCAAGUGACAGCUCCGCUCGCUCUCUACCUGCAGCUGAAAAGACGAAUAAACAUGACGACGGCCCCUUUUUAGUCCACAGACUAUGCAAGCUUUUAUUUUGUCAAAUUAUGAAUUAUCUACAACAAACCAAACGAUUUGUUCAUGUAUUUUACUAAUUUUUUUCUCAGGAGUGAACCUCUCACAGGAAUAAGAGCAAGGCAGAAUGCCAAGAUAAACACAGAAGCUGGCUGGUCAAGUUGUAACUUGCCCUCCUUUUAUCACCCUUAUAAACUCUGGCAUAGACUGCAAUCUUUCAAUUAGUUAGGGUAUGAUAUUCUCUAAAAUCACUCUAAUUGUCAGCUUUUACUUCUUCUUUUGUCUGAGGAUGUUAAUGAAAGAACCCUAGCUGUCUGGAGAAAGCGUGAAGAACUGUGCAAUGAUUCUGUUCCAAAAAGAUAAAUCAAUAAAAUAAAAAAAGACCUACCGGUCCUGUAUCAUCUCUGAUAUAUGUUUCAGAUUAGAAUGGUUUGUAUUAAUAUUUUAAUUUAAUUCUAUCCAAAGAGCAGGCUAUAAGAACUGAUAUAUCCAUCUGCUGUGGAAUCAAUUCCAUAAGUAAGUUACAGAGUGGGAUAUAAAAAUGCAGGGAUUCAACUGUAGGACUUGAUUUUACCCCUGAAAGCGAUCAUAUCUCUUUCUCACAAUAAUUGUGAUGUUUUAGGGGGAAAGGUAAGGUAUUGUAUUCUCUAGUUAAUUCUUUCUCAGAUUCCACAUUUUUAUGAAGAUACCAGAUUUUGUUAGGAUUCUUCAUCCUGAAUUCAACCCCACUGAAUAAUCAUAAAUCAACAUAAUGCAUAAAUCAACAGGCUUAAGAUCUGUUGUGAGUUCUGCUUUAAACAUGCUCUAACUUCUUGUGUUCACAAUCAAGGUGAUGAAAAAGAGAUAAUGGAUUCUUUUGCAAGUGUUUAGAGAUUGUUGAAUGUGCCUGUUUGUGGAAAAGAACCAGAGACAUUUCUAAAUUGAUUGGGAGGCUUUCUUUCCGUUUUUCUUCUAAAUAUAUUUCUCAAAAUAAUAAGUAUUUAGGGUCAUAUAUUUAAAAUAAUAAGUAUUUAGGGUUAUAUAUUCAAAAUAAUCAGUAUUUAGGGUUAUAUAUUUAAAUAAAUGUUCUUUAGCAGAGGUCUGUAUGUUCUUCUUAAAUUAGUGGCCCCAGCAUUCAGAAUGGUUUAGAUCUUCUGAUCUAGCUGGCAUGUUAAAAGUUUCCAGUUAUUAAAACAUAGCUACAAAUAAAUGGGCUCAUUGAUAUGUGUAAAUUAUGGGAACCACAAUGCCACACACAGUUAUGGGUACUUGUGGCCCACAAACAUCAGUAAACAGGCAUGGGAGUGCCUGGGUUGUGGUGAGAUGCUCCCCUAGAUGUAUAAGUGCCCUGAUCCAAUGAGACACUAGGAGUUUUGUGUGUGUGGAACAACUGCGCAAGUUAGCAUGGGGUUUGGAAAAGGGUUUGCCUAGGUCCAUGAUGGCAAACCUAUGGCACUCCAGAUGGUCAUGCACUCCAGAUGUUAAUUGGCUAUGCUGGCAGGGGCCAAUGGGAAUUGUAGUCCAUGAACAUCUAGAGUGCCAUAGGUUCACCACCACUGGCCUAGGUGCUGUUGUGAAGGCUGAGAGAGAGAGUCACCACAGUGUAAAGACCAUCUCUACAUGCCAAUUCAUGAGGUAUUUGCAAGAAAGUGGCUUUCUGUAUUUCAAAACCAUGGUUGCAACAGUUACCAACACAAGACAUGUUGCCACUGAAUCAGAAAGAUAAUUUUAUGUUCUAUUCAUUUUAAUAGCUACUUUCAAUGAUUAUUUGCUUCUCGUGUUUGUUUGAAUUUUUUUGCUAAUUUUAAAGAUUUCUGCCAGUGUUUAUGCUGCUGCUUGUGUUUAUUGUUACUACCGUUGUAAGCCACCUCUGAAAUAUUUGAUUGAGAGUGUGUGAUAUAAAUAUUUUAAAUAAUUAGAUAAAUAA